UGCAGUGCGCAAAAAUAUUUCGCAAAAUUAAUCGACGAAAUUCAGACUCUUGGCACACUUUGGUGCAUUUGUCGAGCUUCGGGUCUAGUCGCAUAUAGUAUUUGUAUCGGCCAUCUGUAUUAUGUUGUUUUAUAUAUUGCGUUAUCUGUGAAUCGCCGACGAAACCGACGAAACCGUGAGCUGUGAUUACGCGUCUAUACUGCAGUCUCUGGUACAACAAUACGUUUAUUAAAUAAUAAAUUAUUGUCUUGUAAACAAAUAUACGAUGUAUGAUUUAGAUUACGUAUCUGUGUAUCGUUUAGUUCCCGCGGAGUCCGAACAGCGUAUUAGGUACACUAUAUAUCGUAUAUAUAUAAUAUGUAUACGAGACGGAUGAAAAUCAAUCUCGUUUAUUGAAACAGAG
This is a non-coding RNA of Cinara cedri, 403 nucleotides long. Lineage: Eukaryota; Metazoa; Arthropoda; Insecta; Hemiptera; Aphididae. The record is from the annotation of a GenBank genome assembly.